RNAcentral lists this ribosomal RNA (571 nucleotides) under Diaporthe ampelina. RNAcentral's name for it is "eukaryotic LSU rRNA". The stretch from base 221 to 374 matches the Rfam family "5.8S ribosomal RNA". Lineage: Eukaryota; Fungi; Ascomycota; Sordariomycetes; Diaporthales; Diaporthaceae. The record is from RNAcentral.
UGUAACAAGGUCUCCGUUGGUGAACCAGCGGAGGGAUCAUUGCUGGAACGCGCCCCUGGCGCACCCAGAAACCCUUUGUGAACUCAUACCUUACCGUUGCCUCGGCGCAGGCCGGCCCCCCCCGGGGGGCCCCUCGGAGACGAGGAGCAGGCCCGCCGGCGGCCAAGUUAACUCUUGUUUUUACACUGAAACUCUGAGAAACAAAACACAAAUGAAUCAAAACUUUCAACAACGGAUCUCUUGGUUCUGGCAUCGAUGAAGAACGCAGCGAAAUGCGAUAAGUAAUGUGAAUUGCAGAAUUCAGUGAAUCAUCGAAUCUUUGAACGCACAUUGCGCCCUCUGGUAUUCCGGAGGGCAUGCCUGUUCGAGCGUCAUUUCAACCCUCAAGCCUGGCUUGGUGAUGGGGCACUGCUCCCCCCCCCGGGGAGCAGGCCCUGAAAUCCAGUGGCGAGCUCGCCAGGACCCCGAGCGCAGUAGUUAAACCCUCGCUCCGGGAGGCCCUGGCGGUGCCCUGCCGUUAAACCCCCAACUUCUGAAAGUUUACCUCGAUCAGGUAGGGAUACCCAAUUCC